This 227-nucleotide long non-coding RNA is filed under the name Lathyrus oleraceus (garden pea). RNAcentral describes it as "Pisum sativum (pea) long non-coding RNA (PSAT_LNC007964)". The record is from RNAcentral. Lineage: Eukaryota; Viridiplantae; Streptophyta; Magnoliopsida; Fabales; Fabaceae.
AGGAAUAAUACCGUGAAUGAAUGGUUUAAGCAUCAUGUCAUCCGCCCCCAUGUCCUAGAUUCAAACCCUUGCUGCCACUUUUCCUUGUUUUUUUUCAUUAUUUUCAUUUUUUCCAUUCUUUUUCAAACUUAUUGUUUUUCUUUUCUUUCACAUUUUCCCAACCAUCCAAAUGAUGUUUCUUUAUAAUUUUUGUGGCACAUACUUCUUAUUUGUAACAUUAUAUUUGU